GAUGAACGCUGGCGGCGUGCCUAAUACAUGCAAGUCGAGCGAACAGACGAGGAGCUUGCUCCUCUGACGUUAGCGGCGGACGGGUGAGUAACACGUGGAUAACCUACCUAUAAGACUGGGAUAACUUCGGGAAACCGGAGCUAAUACCGGAUAAUAUAUUGAACCGCAUGGUUCAAUAGUGAAGGACGGUUUUGCUGUCACUUAUAGAUGGAUCCGCGCCGCAUUAGCUAGUUGGUAAGGUAACGGCUUACCAAGGCGACGAUGCGUAGCCGACCUGAGAGGGUGAUCGGCCACACUGGAACUGAGACACGGUCCAGACUCCUACGGGAGGCAGCAGUAGGGAAUCUUCCGCAAUGGGCGAAAGCCUGACGGAGCAACGCCGCGUGAGUGAUGAAGGUCUUCGGAUCGUAAAACUCUGUUAUUAGGGAAGAACAAAUGUGUAAGUAACUAUGCACGUCUUGACGGUACCUAAGCAGAAAGCCACGGCUAACUACGU
RNAcentral lists this ribosomal RNA (496 nucleotides) under uncultured bacterium. Its description in RNAcentral is "partial 16S ribosomal RNA". It matches the Rfam family "Bacterial small subunit ribosomal RNA", at positions 28 to 506 of the family's 1533-position model. The record is from RNAcentral.